Nosema bombycis CQ1 is the source of this 73-nucleotide transfer RNA. It matches the Rfam family "tRNA". From Rfam's summary of the family: Transfer RNA (tRNA) molecules are approximately 80 nucleotides in length. Their secondary structure includes four short double-helical elements and three loops (D, anti-codon, and T loops). The record is from Rfam. Lineage: Eukaryota; Fungi; Microsporidia; Nosematidae.
GCUUCCGUGGCGCAAUGGUUAGCGCGUUCGGCUGUUAACCGAAAGGUUGGGAGUUCGAGUCUCCCCGGGAGCG